Molecule: long non-coding RNA, 903 nt
Filed under: Ananas comosus (pineapple)
Lineage: Eukaryota; Viridiplantae; Streptophyta; Magnoliopsida; Poales; Bromeliaceae
Description: long non-coding RNA (ACOM_LNC021438)
Source: RNAcentral
UAGCAUGCUUAAACCUCUUAGGGCUUGUUUAGUUCAAGAGUGGAAUUGGAAUGAAUAAUGGAAUGGGAAUGAAUUGGAAUGGCAAUUGGAUUGCCCCACUCCCCCAACACGUUUGGUUUAUUUUUGGAUUGGAAAUCGGAAUGAAUUAUUCCUAUUUCACUAUUUGGUUGAUACAAAGUAAAAAGAUAAUAGAAUAAUAUAAUACUAAUUUUACUUUUAAAUAUAAUUUUAUAAAACUAUCUAAAAUUUAUUAAAAAAAUUAAUACUACCCUCAAGUUAGAGCUAUGCCAAAAGAAAUUGAAUUUAUUUUAAAAAAUUUUAUGCAAGAAAUUACGAAAAAAAUGCCAUUUUUUUUAAUGAUGAGAAAAGAAAGAAAAGAUCGGUAUAAGGAGAGAAAGGAUGGAUAAAAUAGAGAAAUGUUGGGCUGGGCUUGAGGAAGAGGUGAGUGGUCUCCAAACCCGGAUUGAAACUUUAAUCCGGACUUGGAGACCGGAAUCAAUUUGUAAGCUAAUGGACCAUUCCCAUUCCGAUCCGGAAUGGGAGUCUCAAACCGAUUCCUGUGAACCAAACAAAAUUAGCAGGAUUUGAUCAAACCGAUUCCCAUUCCGAAUCCAAAAUGUACGAACCAAACAUGUGCUUACUUUCUUGGGCCUAACCAUCGCCUAAAAUUUUAUAGCUAGGUUUAGAUAUUUAACUUGUUGUUCAGACCCUAACUUAGCUUAUCAUUUCAAACUCUAGCUUAACUUGUCAUUUAGAACUUGAUUCAGUCGAGACUCAUCUCACACUUCCGGCCAGUGAUUGGCUCUGAUGCCAAUUGCGACAUGCCUACUUCUCAGGAGAUCACAUAUAAUGAAACUUUUCUGGUCGUAACAUGCUUAACCCUCUUAACCUCUUGGACCUAAC